CAAGGUACACUUUCAGAAUAUUCUUCUUCCAAUUACCAGCACUAGCUCCUCAGCCAUGUUGCCCCUGAUAUUGAUCAUACAUUGUUUGGGCCGCGGUAAAUCCAAGUCUCUGGCUCGUCCUUGCCAUGCUUCUUAAGCUCAAGUCUCGGUGCAGAUUUUCAUAGCUUGGUAACUUCUGUUAGAAGACAGAGUUAUGCUGGCCUGGGCAGUUACUGCAGGGCAAAUUUUGAAAAGAAAAAAAAACAGAGGAACACCUGCGAUUACUGAGAGGGUGCUUGGAUCCAAGGGACUAAAACUAGUCUCUUUAAGAGGCUAAAGUUCCAAGCAGACUAAAGAGAGGCUAAAACUAAUCUUGAGGCUAAAAUCUUUUAGUCAAGGGUACCCCUACUAAAAUGUGCAUUAGUCCUCUCUCUCUUCAUUUAACUCCUCAUGCAAGUUCUUGAUUGAAGGUUUGGAGGAUAAUAAAUGUUCAUUAACUUGAUUUUAGUCUCUUUAGUAUUUGGAUCUAAGCAUGGGUGAGGCUAGCAAGUUUUAGUGUCAUNNNNN
Molecule: long non-coding RNA, 546 nt
Filed under: Hordeum vulgare
Lineage: Eukaryota; Viridiplantae; Streptophyta; Magnoliopsida; Poales; Poaceae
Description: long non-coding RNA (HVUL_LNC004798)
Source: RNAcentral